RNAcentral lists this ribosomal RNA (479 nucleotides) under uncultured bacterium. Its description in RNAcentral is "bacterial SSU rRNA". It matches the Rfam family "Bacterial small subunit ribosomal RNA", at positions 29 to 507 of the family's 1533-position model. The record is from RNAcentral.
AUUGAACGUUUUGCGGCGGGCCUAACACAUGCAAGUCGAACGCACUAGCAAUAGUGAGUGGCGCACGGGUGCGUAACACGUGGGUAAUCAACCCUUCAGCUUGGGAUAACGACUUGAAAGGGUCGCUAAUACCGGAUUACGGCGAGAGAGGCUUCGGCAUUUCUCGAGAAAGCCUCGCAAGGGGCACUGAAGGACGAGCCUGCGGCCCAUCAGCUAGUUGGUGAGGUAAGAGCUCACCAAGGCGAAGACGGGUAGCUGGUCUGAGAGGAUGAUCAGCCACACUGGAACUGAGACACGGUCCAGACUCCUACGGGAGGCAGCAGUGGGGAAUAUUGCGCAAUGGGCGAAAGCCUGACGCAGCCACGCCGCGUGAGCGAUGAAGGCCUUCGGGUCGUAAAGCUCUGUGGGGAGAGACGAAGAAAGCCCGUGAAGAGCGGGCCUUGACGGUAUCUCCUUAGCAAGCACCGGCUAACUCCGUG